UUUGUGUCGACAACGAAAAUCUGUUCCUUAGUUGUCAACAAUGCUGUUUCCUGAAUGGUCCCCUCUCCUUCUCAGAAAUCCCUCUUCACCGUCCUUUCUUCCUUUAUAUAUUACGUAAUUCUUCCACCCUUAAACCAUCAGAACACAAUUUCAUUUCUUACAGAAAAAGGAUACUUUCACUUCAAGAAUCCCAUCUUUAUGGCAUCAAAAAACCAGUCCAAUUUCCAAGAUUUCUUGCCCCUGAUGGCAGAAAAACUUGGUGGGGAUGGUCUGAUAGGAGAACUUUGUAAUGGGUUUCAAGUCUUGAUGGAUUCUGAUAAAGGGGUCAUCACAUUUGAGAGUCUUAAGAAGAAUUCUGCCUUGCUGGGGCUAAAAGAUAUGUCGGAUGAUGAUCUUCAUAAUAUGUUAAAUGAAGGUGAUUUUGAUGGAGAUGGGGCUCUCAAUCAGAUGGAAUUUUGUGUCCUGAUGUUUAGAUUGAGCCCUGAGUUGAUGGAGCAGUCUUACCUUUUAUUGGAAGAGGCUUUUCAAUCUUAGGGAUUUCAUUUCAAGAUUUUCAUUCUCCAUUGUAAAGAUUUACUAAAUUAUCUAUUUCUAAUUCGUAAUAAUUUUCAAUUUCCAUUGACUUUAGGAUUCGAAAGUUUACAGUAAUUGAAAAUUGGACACAAUGGUUGUAUAUGUGCUCUGUGUUAUUUUGUUAUGAAUUA
Olea europaea var. sylvestris is the source of this 704-nucleotide RNA transcript. It is a transcript of the gene named calcium-binding protein PBP1-like, with no coding region annotated. The record is from RefSeq and is a predicted model, not a curated record. The transcript has 2 exons. Lineage: Eukaryota; Viridiplantae; Streptophyta; Magnoliopsida; Lamiales; Oleaceae.